Molecule: ribosomal RNA, 399 nt
Filed under: uncultured bacterium
Lineage: Bacteria
Description: bacterial SSU rRNA
Rfam family: Bacterial small subunit ribosomal RNA
Source: RNAcentral
GGGAAUAUUGGACAAUGGGCGAAAGCAUGAUCCAGCAAUGCCGCGGGAGUGAUGAAGGCCUUAGGGUUGUAAAGCUCUUUUACCCGGGAUGAUAAUGGCAGUACCGGGAGAAUAAGCACCGGCUAAAUCCGUGCCAGCAGCCGCGGUAAUACGGAGGGGGCUAGCGUUGUUCGGAAUUACUGGGCGUAAAGCGCACGUAGGCGGCUUUGUAAGUUAGAGGUGAAAGCCCGGAGCUCAACUCCGGAAUUGCCUUUAAGACUGCAUCGCUCGAAUCAUGGAGAGGUGAGUGGAAUUCCGAGUGUAGAGGUGAAAUUCGUAGAUAUUCGGAAGAACACCAGUGGCGAAGGCGACUCACUGGACAUGUAUUGACGCUGAGGUGCGAAAGCGUGGGGAGCAAAC